Molecule: long non-coding RNA, 385 nt
Organism: Struthio camelus australis
Lineage: Eukaryota; Metazoa; Chordata; Aves; Struthioniformes; Struthionidae
Source: RefSeq, a predicted model, not a curated record
AAAUCCGCUGACAAUUUGAAAAGAUGGAUGUGAAAAGUAUCAACAAUAAAACGAGCCCUUUCUAUAACUCAGCCAUCAUGGUGUGAGCUGCGCUGCUGAAUCGGUAAUGAGAUGUUGGAGCCAGGGUUAACUGUGGUAGUACUGCAAGAGGCCUGCUUUCGCCUCCAUGGGCACCAAACACAGGAGUGCUGGUGGGGCUGCUGAAGGACAAGCAAGCAACACUACAUAGAAAGAUCAUCUCCCGUUCACCAGUGGUGCCUACUAACAGUGAAGCCACCUGUUCCCUAAAUUAAAGUGAGGCAUGGCAACAAGUAUGGGUGUGCUGUGACCUGUGGUCUAACUGGUCUCUGAGACAGUGGAUAUUAAGAAGGAGAGAAUAUGACAG